ACCCGGUUGGCGCAAUUGGUUAGCGCACAAGACUUUUAAUCUUGGGGCUGCUCGAAUCUCGCAUCGGGUG
Non-coding RNA from Clonostachys byssicola, 70 nucleotides. Lineage: Eukaryota; Fungi; Ascomycota; Sordariomycetes; Hypocreales; Bionectriaceae. The record is from the annotation of a GenBank genome assembly.